UGUGUGUGUGUGUGUGUAUCAAAGUUCCUGGCUUUGGAUAAAAUUAGAUACAGGGGGAUCAGUUAAUUAUGAUUUUUUUUCCACAUGUUCCCCUCUCAGAUUCACACACUUACUGCAGCGGUCCUUCAGUUUUUCUAAGCCCAGUAAAUGAACUCAGAAGUUUGGACCU
This is a long non-coding RNA of Octopus sinensis (East Asian common octopus), 169 nucleotides long. RefSeq lists it as uncharacterized. The transcript has 3 exons. NCBI's taxonomy places the organism in Eukaryota, Metazoa, Mollusca, Cephalopoda, Octopoda, Octopodidae. The record is from RefSeq and is a predicted model, not a curated record.